Molecule: long non-coding RNA, 440 nt
Organism: Lontra canadensis (Northern American river otter)
Lineage: Eukaryota; Metazoa; Chordata; Mammalia; Carnivora; Mustelidae
Exons: 3
Source: RefSeq, a predicted model, not a curated record
UUGUGUAACUUUUAAUAGAUGUUCCUUCACGUUACCACAGAGAGGGGACUCUAGAAGUAAAAGAGGGAUGAAAAUGUGACACAUAAGAAAUCAGUGGGAACCAAUGUUUAUGCAUCUAUUUGACCAAGAAAGAUAAAGUACUCAAACAUGUUCUCCAAUGCAGUAAUAUUUUUUCAUCACCACACUGGCUGCCUCAUACACAUAAUGUGAUGCUGCAAAAUGAGGAAACUGACAAGCGAGUAGAACAGACAUAAUUGCUUGAAAUUUAACUUCAGAAAGCAGAAAAAGUUCCCCAAACUUCAAAAAUGUCAACUUCUUUUGGUACAUCAUUUGUUGUUAUACUUACUUUGUUUUGUUUGAAAAAAGUAAUGUGUUUUAUUUGUACCAGAAUCAUUUUUUCUGCCACUGCAGUGUGCACAUCCAGACAAAUGCAAACACCU